This 468-nucleotide ribosomal RNA is filed under the name uncultured bacterium. Its description in RNAcentral is "partial 16S ribosomal RNA". It matches the Rfam family "Bacterial small subunit ribosomal RNA", at positions 28 to 507 of the family's 1533-position model. The record is from RNAcentral.
GACGAACGCUGGCGGCGUGCUUAACACAUGCAAGUCGAACGGAAAGGCCCUGCUUUUGUGGGGUGCUCGAGUGGCGAACGGGUGAGUAACCCGUGAGUAACCUGCCCUUGACUUUGGGAUAACUUCAGGAAACUGGGGCUAAUACCGGAUAGGAGCUCCUGCUGCACGGUGGGGGUUGGAAAGUUUCGGCGGUUGGGGAUGGACUCGCGGCUUAUCAGCUUGUUGGUGGGGUAGUGGCUUACCAAGGCUUUGACGGGUAGCCGGCCUGAGAGGGUGACCGGCCACAUUGGGACUGAGAUACGGCCCAGACUCCUACGGGAGGCAGCAGUGGGGAAUAUUGCACAAUGGGCGGAAGCCUGAUGCAGCAACGCCGCGUGCGGGAGGACGGCCUUCGGGUUGUAAACCGCUUUCGCCUGUGACGAAGCGUGAGUGACGGUAAUGGGUAAAGAAGCACCGGCUAACUACGUG